AGAUGUGAUGGUGAUCUGGAUGUAGCAGACCCUACUAAUGGCCAGGAUUGUUUCAGGUGAUCUGGUUAGCUAGGUGGGUGUCUCCUCCCACUCCCACUGCUUAGCAUUUGUCCCUCCCUAGGCUGCACACUGAAGGGAACCAUUUCCCCAGACAAAGGAGUACUUGCCUACCCUGGAGGCUAUUCCAAGCUACUCCCCUGCUAGAUCUGCCAGCCAAGGUCUCCAGCAUAUUGUACUCUGUUAUCACAGGACCCAAGGAAAGCACACAAAACAGUUGAAUUUCAUGGUUUUC
This 292-nucleotide small RNA is filed under the name Mesocricetus auratus (golden hamster). RNAcentral describes it as "7SK RNA (ENSMAUG00000003306.1)". Lineage: Eukaryota; Metazoa; Chordata; Mammalia; Rodentia; Cricetidae. The record is from RNAcentral.